UGUCUUGUGUUAAGGUGCAUCUAGUGCAGUUAGUGUAACAACUCAGAAUCUACUGCCCUAAAUGCCCCUUCCGGCACAGGCU
This is a non-coding RNA of Felis catus (domestic cat), 82 nucleotides long. The record is from Rfam. Lineage: Eukaryota; Metazoa; Chordata; Mammalia; Carnivora; Felidae.